CACGUAGUUAGCCGGGACUUCUUAGUCAGGUACCGUCAUUUUCUUCCCUGCUGAUAGAGCUUUACAUACCGAAAUACUUCCUCACUCACGCGGCGUCGCUGCAUCAGGGUUUCCCCCAUUGUGCAAUAUUCCCCACUGCUGCCUCCCGUAGGAGUUUGGGCCGUGUCUCAGUCCCAAUGUGGCCGUCCACCCUCUCAGGCCGGCUACUGAUCGUAGGCUUGGUAGGCCUCUACCCUGCCAACUACCUAAUCAGACGCGGGCCCAUCUUACACCACCGGAGUUUUUACCACCCUGCCAUGCGGCAAUGUGGUCUUAUGCGGUAUUAGCAGUCAUUUCUAACUGUUAUCCCCCUGUGUAAGGCAGGUUGCCCACGCGUUACUCACCCGUCCGCCGCUCAGUCACUUCCUCGUCCCUCCGAAAAGUUCUAACAAGUGCUUCGCUCGACUUGCAUGUGUUAGGCACGCCGCCAGCGUUCAUCCUGAGCCAGGACUCAAACUCU
This 499-nucleotide ribosomal RNA is filed under the name uncultured Lachnospiraceae bacterium. Its description in RNAcentral is "partial 16S ribosomal RNA". Lineage: Bacteria; Bacillati; Bacillota; Clostridia; Lachnospirales; Lachnospiraceae. The record is from RNAcentral.